Non-coding RNA from Pelobates cultripes (western spadefoot toad), 227 nucleotides. NCBI's taxonomy places the organism in Eukaryota, Metazoa, Chordata, Amphibia, Anura, Pelobatidae. The record is from the annotation of a GenBank genome assembly.
AGAGAAAAUAUGUGGAGCACAGAACAACAGAUGAGGAGUUUAGCAAGACAGAUGAGACACUUUAGAGAUCAGAAAAGAUAACCAGAAUGACAGCAAAGACAUGGGGAACAUCAAGUAAACAAAGCAGGACAUUCAAAGAGCAACGUAGACCAGAGAAGGAUAUUAUAAACCAAAUAGAUAUUAUCCAAAGUGAUGGUCCUCAUAUAUAUACUCCUUAAUAUACUCCU